This 69-nucleotide transfer RNA is filed under the name Acinetobacter sp. 1295259. Its description in RNAcentral is "partial tRNA-Val". It matches the Rfam family "tRNA". Rfam says of the family: Transfer RNA (tRNA) molecules are approximately 80 nucleotides in length. RNAcentral also lists the same sequence under 5 other names. The record is from RNAcentral. Lineage: Bacteria; Pseudomonadati; Pseudomonadota; Gammaproteobacteria; Moraxellales; Moraxellaceae.
GGGCGCUUAGCUCAGUUGGUAGAGCGUCUGCCUUACAAGCAGAAUGUCGGCGGUUCGAUCCCGUCAGCG